This is a non-coding RNA of Oncorhynchus mykiss (rainbow trout), 1085 nucleotides long. The record is from RefSeq and is a predicted model, not a curated record. Lineage: Eukaryota; Metazoa; Chordata; Actinopteri; Salmoniformes; Salmonidae.
GUACAAUGCAUCAUGGUACAAUACAUCAUGGCACUGUGCCUCAUUAGAAUCAGCUGAUAUUCUGAGGAACUGGGCCUCUUUUGACACCCAAUGGCUAUCUAGUUUCAGUUGACAGCAUCCUCGCUGGCCAAGGAGAGAUCAGGGACUUCAUCCAGACCAAACGUCUCUUUAUAAAGUCUCUCUGUGGAGUCCUCAUCUCCAGUCCUCCUAUCAUUGGUAUUCUGUGGGAGAGCUGCUCGACCGCUGGGAGGAUAUGGUGGGCUGUGUACGAUACGCUGUGCAUUCACUGCUGAUGAGUUGAUGAUGGUCACAGAGUUAAACAGAGUAUGAAAACACCAUCUCCCCUGGACGGACGUGACGGCCAUCUUAACUUGUCCAGCACAGCACAGGUAGUAGAGUCAAUGGGGAAAUUUCUGGAGACCUACUGUCGCCCUUCUCUCAGUCCCACACUGACAGUAUGAUCCCAUGUUUCCUAGUGGUCAUUAGUUGUAGGGCCAGAGGCGUAAACCGACAUAGUACAUAAAGUAUUAACCAAACAGCAUUUGUCAUUAUAACUUGUUGUUUUAUGCCUAUGAAGUCUCUGUGUGUGAGUGAGGAAAGAAUACUAACAGGAUAAGGUUGAUUUAUAAGAUACAUGGUUGUGUUCCCUAAAAGCAGCAUUUCCAUCAUCAUCACUCCUCAUCUUCACUGGGGCUCUGAAUAGACCAGCCACAGAUGUGUUGAGCUUGUGAUUAACGGCACAAUGGGCUGUUUGUUGCUGCCUCUCUCUCUCCACCUGGGCCUCUGUAGAUGGAAUCAUCCCUGGCAGCACUCAUGACCAGCUUGAAUCAGCCCUUCUGUUUGGGUCUGUUAAUGAUGUUGUCAUUUCUAUAGUACCUUCUGUCUUUAUCCACUCUGAUCUACCUGGCUUGGCUUGGCUUUAGCUAAUGAUCCAUUUGAACAGCUGGACGUGUUAGUAAGGAUGUUAGUGCCUUGCCUUGCUUAAGGGUACGCAGACCAACGAGCCAAUGUGGCCCUUCAUGAUCAAAUCAAAUCAAAUUGUAUUUAUCACAUGCGCCGAAUACAACAGGUUUCACCUUACAGUG